Molecule: long non-coding RNA, 501 nt
Filed under: Pongo abelii (Sumatran orangutan)
Lineage: Eukaryota; Metazoa; Chordata; Mammalia; Primates; Hominidae
Description: lincRNA
Source: RNAcentral
GUCAGCUUUUGGUCCAGUGACUCACAGAAACUCCAAGACAGAUUAAACUAGCAAGCGUUGAAUAUCUGAAUUUCCAAAAUUGUGAGGCUACAAAAAGAAGCAUAAAUUAAAGUUAGGACCAAAUGCUGCUCAGAAAUCGUUUUAAUCUCAAAAGUAGUUGGCAAGUUUUCAGAGUUCAUUUUCAAGGCCUCGUGUAUGUGAAACAACUGAACAUUCAGAGCUAUUUCAUUUUCAAAGAUCCUCAUGUCCAACAGAGAGAAGAAGGUCAUAUGAAGACACGCAGAAUUUGGAGUUACGCUGUCACAAGUCAAGGAGUGCUUAGAGCUACCAGGAGAUGGAAGAGUCAAGGCAGGAUUUUCCCUGGAAGAUUUGGAAGGAAUGUGUUUCUCCUGAAACCUUGAUUCUAGCCUUCUGGAAGAUUUGGAAGGAAUGUGUUUCUCCUGAAACCUUGAUUCUAGCCUUCACUAAUGACAGAGAAUAAAUUUAUGUUCUUUUAAGCCA